AAGUUAUUUUGGGUUAGAAUAUGUUAUAAUGCAAUGAAUUUGAUUGAUUACAAGUCCUAGAGAUGCAUGAAGAAUGUUUAGAAGUGAGAAGAAAGACUUGUGGAUAUUUGGUCCCAAAAGGGAUAAGAACCCAAAACCAUUGCUUUGAGGCAGUGAAUGGCUUGUAUAAAGUUAUUUUGGUUUAGAAUAUGUUAUAAUACAGUGAUAUUGAUUGAUUACAUGUGCUAGACAUGCAUGAAGAAUGUUUAGAAGUGAGAAGAAAGACUUGUGGAUAUUUG
RNAcentral lists this long non-coding RNA (278 nucleotides) under Capsella rubella. RNAcentral's name for it is "long non-coding RNA (CRUB_LNC000061)". The record is from RNAcentral. Lineage: Eukaryota; Viridiplantae; Streptophyta; Magnoliopsida; Brassicales; Brassicaceae.